GACGAACGCUGGCGGCGUGCCUAAUACAUGCAAGUCGAACGCUUUUUCUUUCACCGGAGCUUGCUCCACCGAAAGAAAAAGAGUGGCGAACGGGUGAGUAACACGUGGGUAACCUGCCCAUCAGAAGGGGAUAACACUUGGAAACAGGUGCUAAUACCGUAUAACACUAUUUUCCGCAUGGAAGCAAGUUGAAAGGCGCUUUUGCGUCACUGAUGGAUGGACCCGCGGUGCAUUAGCUAGUUGGUGAGGUAACGGCUCACCAAGGCAACGAUGCAUAGCCGACCUGAGAGAGUGAUCGGCCACACUGGGACUGAGACACGGCCCAGACUCCUACGGGAGGCAGCAGUAGGGAAUCUUCGGCAAUGGACGAAAGUCUGACCGAGCAACGCCGCGUGAGUGAAGAAGGUUUUCGGAUCGUAAAACUCUGUUGUUAGAGAAGAACAAGGAUGAGAGUAGAACGUUCAUCCCUUGACGGUAUCUAACCAGAAAGCCACGGCUAACUACGUGCCAGCAGCCGCCGUAA
RNAcentral lists this ribosomal RNA (523 nucleotides) under uncultured bacterium. RNAcentral's name for it is "partial 16S ribosomal RNA". It matches the Rfam family "Bacterial small subunit ribosomal RNA", at positions 28 to 523 of the family's 1533-position model. The record is from RNAcentral.